Molecule: long non-coding RNA, 799 nt
Organism: Erpetoichthys calabaricus (reedfish)
Lineage: Eukaryota; Metazoa; Chordata; Cladistia; Polypteriformes; Polypteridae
Exons: 3
Source: RefSeq, a predicted model, not a curated record
AUCUGACAGGAUCAGUCUACACAAUUACAACAGUGGAGGACCUUGAAUGGACACAACUGUAAAAUUGAUGAAGUCUGACACACUCUGAACCCAAAGUUACAUAAUUCAAUAUUUAUAACAAGGUGGUCAGACUUCCAGCAGAGCCUUCACUCCAUGAGAAGGUCACAUGUUUGUUAUGUUGCUGCCCGCGUUUGGCGAGGGUCGAUGGCACAGAUGCUCUUCACGCUUUUUUUUUCUGCCUGUGACUUUAUGACUGGCGUUACUUUACUGAGUUGGACGGAGGAGGAGCUGCCGGGAUUCGACGGCUGGAGGCACAGUGCAACAUGACCUUCACUUUUCCGAAAAUGUGCUGGUUUUUUUUUUUGUUUUUUUUUAAAGAGCCCACCAAGGCCAACAUUGCCUGUGCCCGGGCACGGAUUCUUUCUCAUAUUGGAACGAGCACAACUGGCUCUUCCACGUUUAACGUUCUUGGCAUUGAUUGCAUGCGGGACAAAACUCUGCCCACUGGAUCAGGCGGAGGGCAUCCCUGCAAAAGCAUUUGAGACAACUACAAUCUGGAAAACUUUACUCUGCGUGUUCUCUUUGUGUCUUCUGAGCUGCCAGAAGUCGUUGGAGUUAAAAAUAGUUGGCUUUGCGCUGCAGAUGCUAUGGAAAGAGCAGUGCUACCUGGUGACGAGUCUGGCGUUACUCGCACCUCAAAUCCUGCAGGCCUGUGAAAAGCAACACUGCCGGGGAUCUGGAAGGGCGAAUCUCCUCUAAUCUCUCCUCUCCUCCUCUCCUCUCCUCUCUUCUCCUCUCC